RNAcentral lists this ribosomal RNA (380 nucleotides) under uncultured eukaryote. Its description in RNAcentral is "partial 18S ribosomal RNA". It matches the Rfam family "Eukaryotic small subunit ribosomal RNA", at positions 592 to 976 of the family's 1831-position model. The record is from RNAcentral.
CAAUAGCGUAUAUUAAAGUUGUUGCAGUUAGAACGCUCGUAGUCGGAUUUCGGGGCGGGCCGACCGGUCUGCCGAUGGGUAUGCACUGGUCGGCGCGUCCUUCCUUCCGGAGACCGUCCCUACUCUUAACUGAGCGGGGGCGGGAGACGGGACUUUUACUUUGAAAAAAUCAGAGUGUUUCAAGCAGGCAGCUCGCUCUUGCAUGGAUUAGCAUGGGAUAAUGAAAUAGGACUUUGGUGCUAUUUUGUUGGUUUCGAACACCGAAGUAAUGAUGAGAAGGGACAGUCAGGGGCACUCGUAUUCCGCCGAGAGAGGUGAAAUUCUCAGACCAGCGGAAGACGAACCACUGCGAAAGCAUUUGCCAGGGAUGUUUCCACUGA